GGGGAAGAAGCAAGUUGGAGCCUUUUCUUCUUCUUCUUCUGGUUAUUUCCAAAAUGACGAAGACAAGUUUACUGUGUUGCCAAAGCUGUUUAAUGGAUUCGAUAAUUACGAUGCUAGGCGAUGACGUUUGAUUCAGAUUUUCCUCCUCAGUAAUUAUGCUAAGAUCUUUUGAUAUUUCGACAACUUGAACGUAAAUAAAUUGUUUAGGACUUGUUAAAAGGUCGUCGUGAGGAGCUGGUGUCUUAACUUCUCACACCUGAAUGUGAAAAGACGUACUUGGGUCAGUUCCGAGACCAAAAGUUGAACUUGAUCCUCUUAGUUUUUUAUAUACAUUUAAAAAAAAGCUGUAUUAUUAUAAGCCAGAAAGCGAAAACUUUUACUAAGGAAUAUUCUGGUAACCAAAUCUCCUUCUCGUGAAGUUACUUUUUGGUAGUGUAAAUAUUAAAGUCGGGCUGCUCAGUCAGUAAUGGACGACGAAGAGAAGCCAUAUUUGUUGCAUGUAUAAAAAUCUAGAUGUGCUUCAAAACGAAACAGUAUUUUAAAGGUAACAGGUUUCGAAAAAUUGCAGAGUUCAAUGAUUAGUCUAAUUUAAAAAUGAUCUGAAGAGAGAAUUGAGGUUUAAUGGUUUGGAGAACAAACCAGAAAUGCACAAACCUUUUGUGUAUUUUAGAAUGUCUUCCUUCUGCAGAGCUCUUGUGCUGUAAAGGUGCAGAACUGCGUAAAAAUAAGUGUUCAAAAAUAAGUGUUCGGAAUACUUAGAUACGUAGCACAUCUAAAAGCAGCGCUGUUGGUUUAUUCAACCAUGUAUCCAAUGAUAUUGUUAUUCCAGUAAAAAUUGUUCUUUUUUUUUUUCAAAUAGCUGUGAUAAAGGUGUGUGUUCCAUCAGUUGCGCAUAUCCUGAUUUUUACCAAAUCUGUUUUAAAUCUUAGGUUGGUUUUUCCAAGUCAAUGUUUUAGAAAUCUUUGAAAAGUAAAAGUGGUUUUCUAGAGGUCUUGGCUGUGGAGGGUUUUAGAAUUCUUCCUGAAUAGUAAAAUGCAACGAUAAUAAUUGCUAGUGGUUUUACAUCACAAGAUCUUUUUACAUGGUAAUGGAGGAGGUAGGCUGAAAACAUUCCAGACCUGGGUUUGAAAUAAAAUAAAGGUCACAGAUGUUAGGAGUUUUAGACCUGCUUGGAAGACAAAGGUAAAUACCCCACUCUGUGAGAUCGAGUAACUUGGAGUUUAAAAUUUAAAGUAAGCAGUGGCCAUUUUAACUUCACUAAUUUCUCCAGGAGGAUUUAAUUUUUAAUGCUUAUAACUGUAGGGGUUUUUUUUGCAGUGGUAAUGGAAAUUUUUAAGAGAUUGCAGUUGUUAAAAAUGGUAAACUUUUUGUUUAGUGUAUGGCUUCUAAAGAGAAAAAAUAAGAUUGUAGCAAUGUCUUGAAUUUUCUGUAUUUUUAAUUGCUAUGCCUUAAUCCUUAGUAUAUGUGAGUGCAACCAAAAGAUGGGGAAAACAAAGACUGAUAGACAUUAAGGAUGAGAAAUGACUGCUAUCAUGAAUGUACAGGUCAUGGCCACAACCUACCUCUUCAGGACACCCUUAGAGCUUGUCUUUUUCAUAUUUUCUUGUUAUAAACAGUUUCUUUGACUAAGAAAUGUUUACAAUAAAAACAAUUGAUAUCUUUCUUUUUUUUAAAGGUAACUUACAAGAUUUAAAUUUAAUUGAUUGCUGGUAGUUGUGAACAAAUACAACUUUUGUCCCAGGUGUGUGCCAUUUUGAAGACAGUUUUUUGUCCUUGAGGGUAAAAGGAAACCCUUUGGAAAACCUGUUUUACAUAGCAAAAAUUUGAUUCCUCAUAUGAAGUAAAAAAGGCCUAAACAACAAGACAUUGGUGGGAACAUUUAUCAAGCCACUCAACUCAGCUUGAAGAGUCAAAUGGAUCCUUCCACUGAGAAAUCAAGAUGGCAGUCCAGUAUGGCAAACUGAGGAAAAUGGAUUUAAUACAAGAGUGCUGUGAUAUGUACAACCAAGCAGGGUUCUUUAACAUGGAUUCCAUGAGACUGAAGAUACAGGUCUCUAACCACCUCAUGUGGACAGUGGAUGUGACUUUCUAGAGACAUUCAUGUCAUUAAAAUUAGAAGAAAGAUGACAUCUAAACCAGAGGCUAGUUUGUAUUCCUGAACCUUUUUUGCAAUUUGAUUUAAAUAUGACCUCAUGGAAUGUUAACAUCAAUAAAACUUCUAACACUUGAA
This is a long non-coding RNA of Dipodomys spectabilis (banner-tailed kangaroo rat), 2230 nucleotides long. RefSeq lists it as uncharacterized. The record is from RefSeq and is a predicted model, not a curated record. Lineage: Eukaryota; Metazoa; Chordata; Mammalia; Rodentia; Heteromyidae. The transcript has 4 exons.